GAGUGAGAGAGCGAGUGAGUGAGUGAGUGAGUGUGUGUGUGGGGGGGACUCGGCUUGUUGUUGUCGGUGACUUCCCCCUCCCCUUCACCCCUUCCCCUCCCCGCCGCCGCUGCAGUGGCCGCUCCCUGGGCCGUAGGAAAUGAGCGAUAACGAUGACAUCGAGGUGGAGAGCGACGAAGAGCAACCGAGGUUUCAAUCUGCGGCUGACAAACGGGCUCAUCAUAAUGCACUGGAACGAAAACGUAGGGACCACAUCAAAGACAGCUUUCACAGUUUGCGGGACUCAGUCCCAUCACUCCAAGGAGAGAAGGUGAGUUUCCUGAGAAAGCUGAGUAGCUGGCCACUACUAGCUUGGAACUUGUUGCAGAGCUUAGCAGAGCACUCACCUAUUGGGAAGGAAAUGUAGUCAGAGAUAUUCAGGUAGCAUGGUUGCCUUAUUUUUGACUGUUUGGAGGAUCACUGCACACCUUACGUACUCCAGUUUAUCCUUAACAAAAUAUGUCAGAUAUAAUGGAGCUAU
RNAcentral lists this long non-coding RNA (520 nucleotides) under Homo sapiens (human). RNAcentral describes it as "non-protein coding lnc-RAB15-2:4". The record is from RNAcentral. Lineage: Eukaryota; Metazoa; Chordata; Mammalia; Primates; Hominidae.